RNAcentral lists this non-coding RNA (270 nucleotides) under Clostridium puniceum. RNAcentral describes it as "T-box sequence". It matches the Rfam family "T-box leader". From Rfam's summary of the family: Uncharged tRNA acts as the effector for transcription antitermination of genes in the T-box leader family. T-boxes are found upstream of many aminoacyl-tRNA synthetase genes and some amino acid biosynthetic genes usually in Gram-positive bacteria. Lineage: Bacteria; Bacillati; Bacillota; Clostridia; Eubacteriales; Clostridiaceae. The record is from RNAcentral.
AUACAUGCAAUGAUGAAGAAAAGUAAAUUCAAAUGAGUGAUUUUAAGAGAGCAGAUGAUGGUGGAAUAUCUGUAUGAGUUCUGAAUUGAAAGAACACUUCGGAGCAGUUAACUGAAAUUUUUUAGAGUGUAACUAGAAAAGAGUAGGCUUAACCGGUGCCAUACCGUUAAAAAUGGAGGGUAUAAGACAUUAAAGUUUUGUACUUGUUUGAGGUGGAUUUUAAUAUAAAAUCAACUAGGGUGGUACCGCGAAAGUAAUCUCGUCCCUAUG